GUCGAACGGAGAUUAAGUAGCUUGCUAUUUAAUCUUAGUGGCGCACGGGUGAGUAAUAUAUAGCUAACUUGCCCAUUACUAAGGGACAACAGUUGGAAACGACUGCUAAUACCUUAUACUCCGUAUCUAUAUAAGUAGAUACGGGAAAGUUUUUCGGUAAUGGAUAGGGCUGUAUCGUAUCAGCUAGUUGGUAAGGUAAUGGCUUACCAAGGCUAUGACGCGUAACUGGUCUGAGAGGAUGAUCAGUCACACUGGAACUGAGACACGGUCCAGACUCCUACGGGAGGCAGCAGUAGGGAAUAUUGCUCAAUGGGGGAAACCCUGAAGCAGCAACGCCGCGUGGAGGAUGACACUUUUCGGAGCGUAAACUCCUUUUCUUGGGAAAGAAUUAUGACGGUACCCAAGGAAUAAGCACCGGCUAACUCCGUGCCAGCAGCCGCGGUAAUACGGAGGGUGCAAGCGUUACUCGGAAUCACUGGGCGUAAAGGACGCGUAGGCGGAUUAUCAAGUCUCUUGUGAAAUCUAACGGCUUAACCGUUAAACUGCUUGGGAAACUGAUAAUCUAGAGUAAGGGAGAGGCAGAUGGAAUUCUUGGUGUAGGGGUAAAAUCCGUAGAGAUCAAGAAGAAUACCCAUUGCGAAAGCGAUCUGCUGGAACUUAACUGACGCUAAUGCGUGAAAGCGUGGGGAGCAAACAGG
RNAcentral lists this ribosomal RNA (698 nucleotides) under uncultured Campylobacterota bacterium. RNAcentral's name for it is "bacterial SSU rRNA". It matches the Rfam family "Bacterial small subunit ribosomal RNA", at positions 61 to 776 of the family's 1533-position model. The record is from RNAcentral. Lineage: Bacteria; Pseudomonadati; Campylobacterota.